Molecule: ribosomal RNA, 387 nt
Filed under: Lepilemur edwardsi (Milne-Edwards's sportive lemur)
Lineage: Eukaryota; Metazoa; Chordata; Mammalia; Primates; Lepilemuridae
Description: partial 12S ribosomal RNA
Rfam family: Bacterial small subunit ribosomal RNA
Source: RNAcentral
GGUCAUAAACUCAAAUGAUUAAUUAACAAAAUCACUCGCCAGAAUACUACAAGCAACAGCUUAAAAUUCAAAGGACUUGGCGGUGCUUCAAUCCCCUCUAGAGGAGCCUGUUCUACAAUCGAUAAACCCCGAUAAACCUCACCACCCCUUGCUAAUUCAACCUAUAUACCGCCAUCCCCAGCAAACCCUACCAAGGUCACAAAGUAAGCACAAACAUACAACAUAAAAACGUUAGGUCAAGGUGUAGUCCAUGGAGUGGAAAGAAAUGGGCUACAUUUUCUAAUAACAGAACAAUAUCUCACCACAACCCCUAUGAAAUCUAGGGGCCAAAGGAGGAUUUAGUAGUAAACCGAGAAUAGAGAGCUCGAUUGAAUAAGGCCAUGAAGC